Molecule: non-coding RNA, 195 nt
Filed under: marine sediment metagenome
Also listed under: 1 other name
Source: RNAcentral
AGCCGCCUUGGCCCUGAGUCAUGCGCGGCGAUUUGCGAGAAUCGACGUGAAGUGUUGACAGGGGAGAGCAUGGCAGGCUAUGGAGCUGCGAAAUAAAUUGAAUCCGAGGUGUCGAUGCUGUUAAGUGAAGCAGAAGACCACAUUGCCCUACGCGCAAAAGGCAAGCGUGCGGUAGACCUUGCGCAGUCGGAGACC